Molecule: ribosomal RNA, 345 nt
Filed under: uncultured soil bacterium
Lineage: Bacteria
Description: bacterial SSU rRNA
Rfam family: Bacterial small subunit ribosomal RNA
Source: RNAcentral
GGGACGAACGCUGGCGGCGUGCUUAACACAUGCAAGUCGAGCGGAAAGGCCACUUCGGUGGUACUCGAGCGGCGAACGGGUGAGUAACACGUGAGUAAUCUGCCCUUGGCUUUGGGAUAGCCACCGGAAACGGUGAUUAAUACCGGAUAUGACUGCUCCUCGCAUGAGGUGUGGUGGAAAGUUUUUCGGCCAGGGAUGUGCUCGCGGCCUAUCAGCUUGAUGGUGAGGUAAUGGCUCACCAUGGCUUCGACGGGUAGCCGGCCUGAGAGGGUGACCGGUCACACUGGGACUGAGACACGGCCCAGACUCCUACGGGAGCGGCAGUGGGAAUAUUGGACGAAUGGG